GUUAAUAGCAGAGAGCCUCUUAUCAGGUAUGUAUGAAUUUGAAGUCUAUAAUGUUAUGGAUACAAAUUAAAUAAGGAACAUAAUUCAAGUACAAGAAAGACCAUUUAAAGUUUUAAGUUAUGUUUCUCUAUUUGAUGGCCUAGGGUUAGGGUUAGGCAACCCAUACGGUACAUCAACUCACCACUCAACUUUCCCACCCUGGAUGGGGAACACACCAGAGUGGGAACCAUCCUUCCUAAAACAGAGUGCAAAAAAGCGCUAACAAAGACUACAGAACAUAGAACUCAACCCAUAAAGGAAAUAAAUGAGGACAUCAUACUGCAAAUCUUGCAUUCCAAAAAGGUUAAUUGAUAUAAUUAUUGCUUUAUGCCCUUUCAGUAUCUACAGAUAAUCUUUUGUCCAUAUUUAAAAAUGUAAAUUCUCUAUUUCCAGUGUCCUAAAAAGGAUCUCCAGGAUGCUUGUCUUGCUCUGGGUGUCUCCUCUGAAGGGUCCAUAGCAGAUUUGACAAACAGACUUCAGGAGCUGUUGAAUUUCAAAGAUGUUUACCCAAAGCUUUUCAUAAAACUACAAAAAGCUGGUGGUGGUGUUCUCCAUUUCUCAUGUAUGCAUGGAGUUGUCUAUUAUGUGAACUUCCUCUUCUGGAUGGAGUCUGCAAGAGACCACUGUGACGGACUGCUCAGUUUCAAGAUUCCCGACAUGUUACAUAGCUGAUGUAGCUGGACAGGUCCCACUAACAACCGCACAAAUCAAUUAUGUUUCAAGCCGCAUGACGGGAGACUCUGUUCACCUGCCCAGGACGAUCUAACUAAAGCAAAGACCAAAGAACUACAAGUUGAAGUGGAUUGGGUAAAACAACUGAGAUGUCCUUUGCCACAACAACCAGAGGCAAACGUGGAAAGAAUGUCAGCUAAACACCCAGUCACAGGAACGUCUGAAAGGUUUUCUCUGUAUGACAGGUUUCAUCAAAAAAAUCAAAAACGUCAAGAAGAAAAGCUGAGAAGCCUCAACAUUUGCCCUGCCCUCAGAAAAGAAAUCAACUCUGCCGUAGCAGAACAGUUUAAUCGUGACCUUGCCUCUGUGAGGUAUUCAUUAUGCCAAAUGACUGAAACACAUUUCAAGCAGACUGUCAGGGUCUUGAUAGAAUUGCACAACAAUAACAUAAACACGCAGUUCAAAUCAGAAAUGGAGACCCUGUGUAAUGCCCCACUGUCUUUGGGACUGAGUGGCAUGUUGGGACUGCAGCCUACAGGUGUUUGACUUUCACUAUACUGCAUUAUCAGUGAUGAAGACAUGAAUCUACUGAGGAAUGUCUUCAGGUCUUCCGGUGGGCUUGAAGGCUGGACUGUGGUUUAUCCUCCACAGUGGAAGCAGCAAGACUCUGUGAACUGUGGCGUACUUGUGUGCUCAGCGAGCGUCUGUGAUCCUAACUGGUUUUACAACUGAUGUUUCAACCAUAUUCCAUAUAUUUUCUCUAAAAAGGCUGUUGAAAAUGUAGUUAAACAGCGUGAAUCCAUGUCAGAAGCAUUGACAGUGAACCAGUGCAGGACUCUUCGUCUGCACCAUGCCACCCAAAACAUUAAUCCUGAGGAUUUCCCACCAACUAAUCAAGAAAUGUUGGCUAUAAAACAAAAGGAAGUUAAGCUUCAAGGAACAGAAAUAAAAGCCCUGACUCCAGCAUCCACUGCCUGUCCUGGAGGAUUAGGACAUGCCUGUUUCAAAGGGCAACUGGAAAGAACAGGAAGAAGAUUAUGGAGGGAGUCUAUGCAGAUGACAUUCUGACAGAUUUAGAGAUUAAGGACUUGGAAAGAAACCUGCAGACCGACCACAUUCUUUUGAACAGAAUGUAUCUGUGGAAGCACAAAGGAUUUGACCCAAGUCUCAGAAAACACUACAGUGAGCAUGUAACCGUAUUUGAUGACAUGACGACUGAAACAAUCAUCCAGCGUUUGGAAAGAGUCCUGUCACUUUCAGGAACUACAUCUGUGGAUCCUCAUUUCAUAACAGAUGUUAUUCUG
This is a non-coding RNA of Nothobranchius furzeri (turquoise killifish), 2015 nucleotides long. NCBI's taxonomy places the organism in Eukaryota, Metazoa, Chordata, Actinopteri, Cyprinodontiformes, Nothobranchiidae. The record is from RefSeq and is a predicted model, not a curated record.